CGGACUUGGUGGGAGGUGACUGGAUAUGGGGGUAGAUCCCUCAUGAAUGGCCUAGCACCACCCUGUUGGUGAUACGUGACUUCUCACUUCUCGCUCAGUUCAUGCUAGAGCUGGUAGUUCAAAAGAGGCUGGCUCCUCCCCUCUCUCAUGCUCUCGCCAUGUGAUCUGCCUGCUCCCCCUUCACCUUCCACCAUGAUUGGAGGCUCCUGAGGCCUCAGCAGAAGCCAAGCAGAUGCCAG
RNAcentral lists this long non-coding RNA (239 nucleotides) under Homo sapiens (human). RNAcentral's name for it is "HSALNT0273685". Lineage: Eukaryota; Metazoa; Chordata; Mammalia; Primates; Hominidae. The record is from RNAcentral.